ACAGCUAUUACAGAUCUGUUCUCUUGCAAAUCCAGUAUGUGCCUCUGCCCUUCUGGGUACUCCAUCAACAGGUCCCCCCAGCCCAGUGACCUUUUAUUACACUGUCUGGAAUGCUCUUAAAAACAUUUCAUCACAGUCAGUAGGAUAUUGUGUGUGUGCCAGUUCAUUUAAAUUACAACUCUAGAAACGUCAGUUGCCCUAAUAAAAAAUGGCGUGUCCAGCGGUGGUCUGGUGGAGUUAAAGUUGAAAGCCAGCACUCCCCAGACAGCUAUGAGUGCAUCUGCUACCUGAGUGCCCCCCUCCAACCUGUCCCAUGCUCACCAGCGCACUCAGCGUCAGGGAGGGAUCUUUACUAGUUAAAGAUGGUGGCCUCGAAAACUCAUCAUUCCAUGACGAAUGUUAGAAAUAGUUUCUAAUUUCCCUUGAAAUUAUAGGUAUGUGUACUGGUGAGAUUAUUGUAGGAUACCCCCACUCUAAUCCUGAGAGAUCAGCUGCCUUCCCCUUCACAACGCAGGGAGGACUGGGUCCCUCACCUUUGGGGACUAGCCAUCAGGGGGUUUCUGCUUGCCAAUGGAAACACCAGACAGGCUGCCUCCCAAGCUGUCCAUAUCUUCUAAUUACACCAGAGCGCCUCAAAGCAGAGAGAACCAGAACUGUGCUGAUCUUACAUAACAAACCAAUUCUCUCUCUUGUGCUUUUUUUGCUAAUGAGCAUUGUAUAGCAAAUAUCCCAAAUGGGUAGCAAAAUUUGGUCUGAGAUUUGCUUUCAUGAAAACCUACAUUGAGAUUACAGAAUAGCUAACUCUCAGCCACCUCUGAACUUUUUGGAGGCUACAUUAUCUACCAGAAAGAACUUGACUGCCUUGGGUCAGUUUAUACAGCUUACCCAUUGUUAUUCUCCAGACUGGCCGGACCUGUUUAUCUGACUCACCCCUUCUCGAAUGGCCUGCCCCGCUCUAGGCUUUCCUCGGAGCCCCACCACUAGAAGACCACCUCCUUCUGUGGAAAGCCUUCCUCACCUGAGGUCUUUACUUUGUGCCCUGAAAUCAAGGACGGGAGAACCAUGCGAGGCUCCGGUCCCCUCACCACUCUCUCUGUGGCAACAUUUUCUGGAUCUAAGCACCGUAACUGUUCCCCAAGCUCUUAGGCACAAGGACCCCUCUCUGUCACCCUUGCUCAUUGUGCUGCUUAGUUUUAAGUGUUGAGUUAAGUGGAUUGAGGAACACCUAGAGAACAGGUAGAGCAUUUCUGGUUGUGUCUGUGUGGGUGUGUCCAAAGGAGAUGGAUGUGGGAUUCAGUGGACAGAGUGGGCAGAUUCACCCUCAGUGUGGGUGGGUACCAUCCAGUCAGCUAGGGACACAGAGAAGAACUCCAACAAGGCAAAGACAAGGCAAUUUCUUUUCUUUUCUUUCUUUCCUCCCUCUACCCCCUCCCCCAGGAAGCUGGGACAUGUUUCUUCUCCUGUGCAUAUACAUCAGAACUCCAGGCUCUCUGGCUUCUGGCCUCUAGAAUUCGUGCUAGUGACCCUUCGGCUCUCAGGCUUUCAGCCCUGGCUUCCCUGGGUCCCUGGCCUUGGACUGAGCCACACUAUUGGCCUCCCAGAAUCUCCAGCCUGUCAACAAGAUGCUGUCAGAUUUCUCUACCUCCACAGUAUCACGAGACAAUUCCUGUAAUAGAUCUCCUCCCAUCAUCUACCUACCUACCAAUUCACCCAUCUCCCUUUUUAUCUGUCUUCUGUUGGUCCAGUUGAUCCGGGGAACCCUGACUCACACCCAUUAUUUUGCAUCUCCCUGAGCAAUGAGCUCGACCUAUGAACACAGAGUCUGGUUAAGUACACCCAGUGCUCCUGCAUCUACUGUGUGCACAACAGCAUUGGGGUUAAAAAGAGAGACCACAGAAUGGCUUUGAUGAAUAAGAAAUCACCCAGGAGAAGCGUCUGAAUGCCAAAGACUCCAAAGUGCACAUUUGUCAGUGAGCCUCUGCACGCACACAUUUUACAGGGAAAACAUUCUCAUUGUCAAAUUUCUAGAAUACCAGGAAAGGUUGUUUCUCUAGAAGGCUAAGGGUGUUCUUAAUUUUUCCCCUAGCUGAUUAUUGAAAGGGAAGUAAUAUAAUUAUUCCUAAAGAAAACUGGAUGUGCAAUUGGUAAGUUCAAGUUAACAAUCCACCACUGGGUAUGUAACUUCAGGCAAAUUAUUUAAUUUCUUUGAGCUUCCAGAGGCUCAUAUCUAAAAUGGAAAUUCUGUUUACCCCACAGGUCAUUGUGAAGGUUGAAUAAGUAAAGGUCUCUGUGUAUUCUAAAAUGCUACAUGAGUAUAAGGCGUUAUUAUUUUCACGUAUUCAUAUGGGGGAGCACCAAGACCAUGUUAAUAUGCUUAUUUAAGCCAGAAAAGCCCAUUAAAUGUACCCACAUAACCUAUUAGAAUCUCUAAACAAGACAUUACCUUUUAAAGUUUCUUCUCAGGUGAAAAAUGCUGCAUUUCUGAAAGCUUUUGUUUUAUUUAUUAAAAUAGGUGGUGAAUACAGAAUUUCUCAUAGACUAGCUACCUUACAUCUGGCACUUUCUCAUUUUUUUCCAAAGUAGAGACAGUGGUAAUAAAUCAGAAGCAAUACACAGCUCAUUUAUGUGGGCAGUCCAGGUAAUUCUAGGAGUGCUGUGUGAAUUUCUGGAGCCAGAAUGUGCGGGCAGACCUGCCCGUGCUCACGCUGUCCAUUAGCAUGCAAACUGUACAGCUGUACGUCCACAGCAGAGCAGGGCAAGGCCUGGGGUUUUCAACUUCACUCACUUUCCUGGAAUGGCAAGCAGCCAUGUAGUAUAUUUCUGCCUAAAGACAAGUUUUAUGGGAUCAUAUGUUCCUAUUCUUAGGAGGGCUCUUUUUUUUUCUGAAUUAACAUUAGAAAGAAGCCAUUUGGCUUUAUUAAGCAUGUUUCUUCCACUUUUGUAGAUUAAGCAGCUCAAAAUGUGCUAGGAAGAUGAUGAAUGCUACUCAACAAUUAAUAUGAAGGGAAUAGAAGAUAAAAUCACUAGGACCCUGCAGAUUAAAGAGCACAUUUUCUGUUUUAGAUUGAUAUAUAAAUAUAACAGUUAAAGACAAAAAGUGAGCUAAGGACAUAUCUUCAAUAUAUCCCCUCAAAUUUUAACUUUAAUUAAUCUGAAUUUCAUAACAAUGUGUUUUCUAAUUACAAAGGAACUUGCUGGAGAAUUCUAAAUAGGACACUUACUGUUCUCAAGUCGUCUUUCUGUUUCUAAGGACUAAGUUUUAAACUAUUAAUACAUAUCUUAUCUUAGGUUAAUUAAGUGGGCAAAUUUCCUUGCCUAACAAUGGUUUAUAAUUUUCUAAUACAGUUUAAGCUCUAAAAUAGCCAUCUAAGAUAAAUGUACCUCUUGCCCUAAAUGUGUCUGCUCCUAUUAUUAUCAGUGGGGAAAACUUGAGACUAAAUUACUGGGUAAGAAGUGCACAAUUCUCAGACAACAAGGGCCCCAGAUCUUAAAGGGCCCCCACUUUGUGACCUGCACAUAUAAUCUUACCUUUGCAAGGCAUCCUCAGCUCUGGGUCCCGAGGUAAGAGGGGCUUUUUAAGUGAGAAGAACAAGGUGGAAGAGGUAUAUGUGUGUGUGACAUGUGUAUAUGUGUUAGCUCCCUCCUAAGCUAAUCCCAUUUUUGCUAGUAGAAAUUACUGUCCUCUGGUGACAAAAAAAGAAUGACAGGGUCCUUCCCACUUGACUUUGCUACUACCAAACGGCACAUCAUGAAAAUGGGUUUCAGGCAGAAUUCUGCCCUACAUACCAAUGUUCUUGACAAGCAGGCAUGACAUGAUCUGUUCCUAGGAGCAAUGCAGACCCAGGCCUCUGGAGUGCUUUGCAUGGACAAGACACAGAAUUCUCAGUCAAGAUGCAGGGACAAGAAAGGAAUGAAGCCCGAGACCAAGGUCAGCUCUCUACAGGAGAAUGCAUCAUCAGAUGCACCCUCCAGAGGCCCACAUCCCUGUCCAUGGAAGGGCAGGGCCUGAGCAGAGCUGAGCCAAACUGCACACCCCAACCUUUGUGAGCACCAUGCACCUCCCUCAGCAAGAGGUAGCUCCAUAAUCCUCCUGCUACGGAAGGAAUCUCCAGUGCAGAGCUUUGCAGAUGAAGGUGGUUGAGGACUUGGGGCCGGGCACACUGAACUGUGGGUUCUUUUGAGCAUCUUUAAAAUGCUACUGUGCCUGCCACGUGAGAUACUACACAUGCUGAUGAACCACCCCUUGGAUAUAGAGAGCAAAUAUCUUAGACCAUCUCUACCAAAGAACUACAAAGGAAACUUUACCAUCUAGGCUGGAGAAUGGAAUCUGGAAUCUGCUUAAGGUGUACGACCAAUCGGAAGAGUUCAGCGGGACAUUCUCUAGCCCGUUCCAAUAUUUGAAAGUGCAGUUUUUCUGAAUUAAGGUCACAAGGUGAUAUUUUCCCUUCCUAGUUUAACCAUAAAAGAGCCAAAUAGAUAAAGACAAAAAUGUUAAGAAAACAGGGUCUAACUAUGUAUUAAAAGAGUCUCCAUUUUAAGAAAUUUUUUUUCCUGAUUAAUAUCAAAAAGCUUUUAUAUAACUACUUUAUAUAUCUGUGGGACAUCUUUUGGAGAAAUAAUCAAAGUUAAGAUGUGUUCUAAUGAUGCCCAUGGGGUAGUGGCAUUGUUAAAAGGUGGCCCCUAGCCUGGGGUUCCAUUUCAAAAUGGGUCCGUCAAUUUUAUUGUACUUUAACUUCAAGAGCGCCACCAUGUCCAAGAACCUUCGGAUAGACUCACAGCCCACCACGCUUGCAGAGUACAAUUAGUUUACAUGAGAGGAAAAUAUGUGUUUUGUUGUAUGUUAGUUGUCACUCUAUCUAUCAGGGUCAGACCCUAGAUGUGGAGUGUCUCUCUCUUUGGAACUCAGUCUUCUCCCUUGGAGGGCAUGUUAUCUGGACACACACUCAUGGCACUUUAUCUAUUGGGUACCUCCAACACAGAAUCCCAAAGGGGACCUUAAGAAGCCUACAAAGAAAGGUUGGGCAUAAUAUCUGCUCUCAAGGAGAUUUGAUACUAUAUUUAAUUGGAAACCCAGAAAAAAAAAUGGCUGUGAAGGGUGGUGAAUGUUUCAACACAAAUGAAAUUCACAAUCCAGAAAUUAUGUCGAAGCUGGAAAAAAAGGAAUCACUGGAGGUUGGAUUGAUCAAAAAAAUAAAAAAUAAAAUAAGCUUCUUAUAGAAGGUCAUUCUGGUGGGACUCUGAGUUGACAAAGAAUCUGUUUGGACAGAGAGAAAAACCAUCACACUAGUAAGGAUAGGGCAUGAACAAAGCAACUUAGAUAUGGAAAAGGGCAUUUGCUCUUCUGGAAAGCAACAUGGCCAGAGGUGAAGGGUGGUGUCAAGAAAUAAUAAGGUCAAAAUGGC
RNAcentral lists this long non-coding RNA (5402 nucleotides) under Marmota monax (woodchuck). Lineage: Eukaryota; Metazoa; Chordata; Mammalia; Rodentia; Sciuridae. The record is from RNAcentral.